AAAACGGCUUUGAUAAGGAAAGUAAGUUUUACUGAAGUACUACAGAGAGUUUCUGGUGGGUGCGAAGAAACAACGAAGGUUUAGCUGAAAAUCACCUUUGAGCAGAAAUUACGAAUUGAGUAGUUUCAGGGUGCGCCCUUUAUAGCGUCGACGUAUCGCUCUUUUUUGAGCCGCACGUGCAACGAGGCUGGGGCUAUGCUCAGCGAACAUAGGUGGUACAGCGCAUAAGCGCCCUAUUA
This 239-nucleotide non-coding RNA is filed under the name Lactobacillus sp. RNAcentral describes it as "T-box sequence". It matches the Rfam family "T-box leader". From Rfam's summary of the family: Uncharged tRNA acts as the effector for transcription antitermination of genes in the T-box leader family. T-boxes are found upstream of many aminoacyl-tRNA synthetase genes and some amino acid biosynthetic genes usually in Gram-positive bacteria. The anticodon of a specific tRNA base pairs to a specifier sequence within the T-box motif, and the NCCA acceptor tail of the tRNA base pairs to a conserved bulge in the T-box antiterminator hairpin. Lineage: Bacteria; Bacillati; Bacillota; Bacilli; Lactobacillales; Lactobacillaceae. The record is from RNAcentral.